This is a long non-coding RNA of Oncorhynchus tshawytscha (Chinook salmon), 2524 nucleotides long. Lineage: Eukaryota; Metazoa; Chordata; Actinopteri; Salmoniformes; Salmonidae. The record is from Ensembl.
CUACAUUGUAUUGUAUGGAACUGUCCUCUACAUUAUAUUGUAUGGAAUUGUCCUCUAUAUUAUAUUGUAUGUAACAGAAACAACGAAUUAUGCACAUAUUUAUAAAACAAAUACACAAACAUUGCAAAUUAAUAUGCCUAUGCUUUAUGUUAGAUAUGUAUUAAAGUGUUGAUCAGUCUCUUUUUUAAAUUUUUUACUAACAAACUAAACCAAACAAUUGUCACAAGGUGCGGUUCUGCCGGCUGACCACACACAAAUCGUCAAUGUGAGGAGCUAUAUUGCAUUGUGAGGAAGGUCUUGUAAUAGUCUGGCAGUCCAGAAGAUGUCCCUGCACACCUAAUAAUAUCUAUUUUUUUUACAAUGUAUCUUUAUAAACAAAUGAACAUACUUUACAUCACUGAAAAUGCCCUUCAUAAAUAAACUGCCGUCAUUGCCAGCAAGACAUUAGCUACAUGUUCAUAUUCAAUAUACAGUUGACUGGAUCUCAAUGAAGACGCAAACUUUGGGUCUAAGGUAAACAUUUCUCUUCAUCUGGCGAAACCUCAACACUUUGACCUCCAUUGAAGGCGUGACGUUGUCAGAGAGAUAGUUAGAUAUGAAAUGGAAAGGAGGCAGCGAUCUAAAUUACUUCAGUGUCACAAAGUCAUCUACCUAGUUGUCGCAUGCUGCCGAAGGCUAAGGAUAGUCCUUCAAAAGUCAAGAUCACACAUCAGCACUCCCGGUGCCGACCUCGAUUUGUCUAGGACAUUUUACAACUGACACCCAUCAAUACUGAACUCUUAUGAAAAUGAACGGUGGCAAAAAGAAGCUGCAGGCCCAGACGGCAUCCACAGCCGCGCCCUCAGAGCAUGCGCAGACCAGCUGGCCGGUGUGUUUACGGACAUAUUCAAUCAAUCCCUAUACCAGUCUGCUGUUCCCACAUGCUUCAAGAGGGCCACCAUUGUUCCUGUUCCCAAGAAAGCUAUGGUAACUGAGCUAAACGACUACCGCCCCGUAGCACUCACAUCCGUCAUCAUGAAGUGCUUUGAGAGACUAGUCAAGGACCAUAUCACCUCCACCCUACCUGACACCCUAGACCCACUCCAAUUUGCUUACCGCCCAAAUAGGUCCACAGACGAUGCAAUCUCAACCACACUGCACACUGCCCUAACCCAUCUGGACAAGAGGAAUACCUAUGUGACAAUGCUGUUCAUCGACUACAGCUCGGCAUUCAACACCAUAGUACCCUCCAAGCUCGUCAUCAAGCUCGAGACCCUGGGUCUCGACCCCGCCCUGCGCAACUGGGUACUGGACUUCCUGACGGGCCGCCCCCGGUGGUGAGGGUAGGCAACAACAUCUCCACCCCGCUGAUCCUCAACACUGGGGCCCCACAAGGGUGCGUUCUGAGCCCUCUCCUGUACUCCCUGUUCACCCAUGACUGCGUGGCCACGCACGCCUCCAACUCAAUCAUCAAGUUUGCGGACGACACAACAGUGGUAGGCUUGAUUACCAACAACGACGAGACGGCCUACAGGGAGGAGGUGAGGGCCCUCGGAGUGUGGUGUCAGGAAAAUAACCUCACACUCAACGUCAACAAAACUAAGGAGAUGAUUGUGGACUUCAGGAAACAGCAGAGGGAACACCCCCCUAUCCACAUCGAUGGAACAGUAGUGGAGAGGGUAGCAAGUUUUAAGUUCCUCGGCAUACACAUCACAGACAAACUGAAUUGGUCCACUCACACAGACAGCAUCGUGAAGAAGGGGCAGCAGCGUCUCUUCAACCUCAGGAGGCUGAAGAAAUUCGGCUUGUCAUCAAAAGCACUCACAAACUUCUACAGAUGCACAAUCGAGAGCAUCCUGGCGGGCUGUAUCACCGCCUGGUACGGCAACUGCUCCGCCCACAACCGUAAGGCUCCCCAGAGGGUAGUGAGGUCUGCACAACGCAUCACCGGGGCAAACUACCUGCCCUCCGGGACAACUACACCACCCAAUGUUACAGGAAGGCCAUAAAGAUCAUCAAGGACAUCAACCACCCGAGCCACUGCCUGUUCACCCCGCUAUCAUCCAGAAGGCAAGGUCAGUACAGAGCUGCAUCAAAGCUGGGACCGAGAGACUGAAAAACAGCUUCUAUCUCAAGGCCAUCAGACUGUUAAACAGCCACCACUAACAUUGAGUGGCUGCUGCCAACACACUGACACUGACACUGACUCAACUCCAGCCACUUUAAUAAUGGGAAUUAAUGGGAAAUGAUGUAAAUAUAUCACUAGCCACUUUAAACAAUGCUACCUUAUAUAAUGUUACUUACCCUACAUUAUUCAUCUCAUAUGCAUACGUAUAUACUGUACUCUAUAUCAUCGACUGCAUCCUUAUGUAAUACAUGUAUCACUAGCCACUUUAACUAUGCCACUUUGUUUACAUACUCAUCUCAUAUGUAUAUACUGUACUCGAUACUAUCUACUGUAUCUUGCCUAUGCUGCUCUGUACCAUCACUCACUCAUAUAUCUUUAUGUACAUAUUCUUUAUCCCCUUACACUGUGUAUAAGACA